This 686-nucleotide ribosomal RNA is filed under the name uncultured Nitrososphaerota archaeon. Its description in RNAcentral is "bacterial SSU rRNA". It matches the Rfam family "Archaeal small subunit ribosomal RNA", at positions 69 to 758 of the family's 1478-position model. The record is from RNAcentral. Lineage: Archaea; Thermoproteati; Nitrososphaerota.
CAGCAAUGCGUGGCAUACGGCUCAGUAACACGUAGUCAACAUGCCCAGGGGACGUGGAUAACCUCGGGAAACUGAGGAUAAACCGCGAUAGGCCAAGGUUUCUGGAAUGGACACUGGCUGAAACCUAUAUGGCCCCUGGAUUGGACUGCGGCCGAUCAGGCUGUUGGUGAGGUAAUGGCCCACCAAACCUAUAACCGGUACGGGCUUUGAGAGAAGGAGCCCGGAGAUGGGCACUGAGACAAGGGCCCAGGCCCUAUGGGGCGCAGCAGGCGCGAAAAUUCUGCAAUAGGCGAAAGCUUGACAGAGUUACUCUGAGUGAUGCCCGCUAAGGGCAUCUUUUGGCACCUCUAAAAAUGGUGCAGAAUAAGGGGUGGGCAAGUCUGGUGUCAGCCGCCGCGGUAAUACCAGCACCCCGAGUGGUCGGGACGAUUAUUGGGCCUAAAGCAUCCGUAGCUUGUUCUGCAAGUCUUCCGUUAAAUCCACCUGCUCAACAGAUGGGCUGCGGGAGAUACUACAGGGCUAGGAGGCGGGAGAGGCAAGCGGUACUCAGUGGGUAGGGGUAAAAUCCUCUGAUCCACUGAAGACCACCAGUGGCGAAGGCGGCUUGCCAGAACGCGCUCGACGGUGAGGGAUGAAAGCUGGGGGAGCAAACCGGAUUAGAUACCCGGGUAGUCCCAGCUGUAAAC